GCAUUCCCCAGAAGAAAGUUUAGCCAAGGUAUCUCCUGAGCAUGGCUCAUCCCUAGAAUGCUCUCUGCUGCAUCUCGCAUCCUGGAGAACCCGCUCUUCCACAUGCUUCUGCCUGGGAGGGCUAGAGUUCUUUGAGGACUGUUCAAAGUGCUUUGCUGAGUGCUGACACAAUUCUCUCAAAAAAUUCGUGUGCUUGGUACAGUCGAGGACACACAUGUGGGGACAUUGCCAACUUAUAGAUGUAUAAAAGAGAAAGGCAGCUGUCUUCAACCUGGGAUAAAGACUUCCCCCAGAUAAUUCCUGGGCCAGGAUGCUGACUUUGGACUUUUAACCUCAAGAAUGAACAUCCCAUACCUACAGCUCCAAUGACGCACAUGAGGAAGAGGAGGCCGAUGCAGAAGAAGAUAUCUGUGUUGAUGCGCCGCUCAAUUUUGCUGCGUUUGUAUCGGGGGCCACUAUUGUUCAGCAUGGCUUUUGUCUCAUGUCCUUUGAGAGAAAA
RNAcentral lists this long non-coding RNA (499 nucleotides) under Mus pahari (shrew mouse). RNAcentral describes it as "predicted gene 12146 (MGP_PahariEiJ_G0002510.1)". Lineage: Eukaryota; Metazoa; Chordata; Mammalia; Rodentia; Muridae. The record is from RNAcentral.